This 495-nucleotide ribosomal RNA is filed under the name uncultured bacterium. Its description in RNAcentral is "partial 16S ribosomal RNA". It matches the Rfam family "Bacterial small subunit ribosomal RNA", at positions 28 to 523 of the family's 1533-position model. The record is from RNAcentral.
GAUGAACGCUAGCGGGAGGCCUAACACAUGCAAGCCGAGCGGUAUUUAUUCUUCGGAAUAGAGAGAGCGGCGUACGGGUGCGGAACACGUGUGCAACCUGCCUUUAUCAGGGGGAUAGCCUUUCGAAAGGAAGAUUAAUACCCCAUAACAUAUUGAUUGGCAUCAAUUGAUAUUGAAAACUCCGGUGGAUAAAGAUGGGCACGCGCAAGAUUAGAUAGUUGGUGAGGUAACGGCUCACCAAGUCGAUGAUCUUUAGGGGGCCUGAGAGGGUGAUCCCCCACACUGGUACUGAGACACGGACCAGACUCCUACGGGAGGCAGCAGUGAGGAAUAUUGGACAAUGGGUGAGAGCCUGAUCCAGCCAUCCCGCGUGAAGGACGACGGUUCUAUGGAUUGUAAACUUCUUUUAUAUAGGGAUAAACCUACUUACGUGUAAGUAGCUGAAGGUACUAUAUGAAUAAGCACCGGCUAACUCCGUGCCAGCAGCCGCCGUAA